This 492-nucleotide ribosomal RNA is filed under the name uncultured bacterium. Its description in RNAcentral is "partial 16S ribosomal RNA". It matches the Rfam family "Bacterial small subunit ribosomal RNA", at positions 29 to 507 of the family's 1533-position model. The record is from RNAcentral.
AGUGAACGCUGGCGGUAGGCCUAACACAUGCAAGUCGAACGGCAGCACAGUAAUAGCUUGCUCUUACGGGUGGCGAGUGGCGGACGGGUGCUGAAUACAUCGGAAUCUACUUUUUCGUGGGGGAUAACGUAGGGAAACUUACGCUAAUACCGCAUACGACCUACGGGUGAAAUCAGGGGAUCUUCGGCCCUUGCGCGAUUGAAUGAGCCGAUGUCGGAUUAGCUAGUUGGCGGGGUAAAGGCCCACCAAGGCGACGAUCCGUAGCUGGUCUGAGAGGAUGAUCAGCCACACUGGAACUGAGACACGGUCCAGACUCCUACGGGAGGCAGCAGUGGGGAAUAUUGGACAAUGGGCGCAAGCCUGAUCCAGCCAUACCGCGUGGGUGAAGAAGGCCUUCGGGUUGUAAAGCACUUUUGUUGGGAAAGAAAAGCAGUAGGUUAAUACCCCGCUGUUCUGACGGUACCAAAAGAAUAAGCACCGGCUAACUUCGUG